RNAcentral lists this ribosomal RNA (404 nucleotides) under uncultured bacterium. Its description in RNAcentral is "bacterial SSU rRNA". It matches the Rfam family "Bacterial small subunit ribosomal RNA", at positions 355 to 776 of the family's 1533-position model. The record is from RNAcentral.
UGGGGAAUAUUGGACAAUGGGGGCAACCCUGAUCCAGCAAUGCCGCGUGUGUGAUGAAGGCCUUAGGGUUGUAAAACACUUUCAACGGUGAAGAUGAUGACGGUAGCCGUAGAAGAAGCCCCGGCUAACUUCGUGCCAGCAGCCGCGGUAAUACGAAGGGGGCGAGCGUUGUUCGGAAUUACUGGGCGUAAAGGGCGCGCAGGCGGCCUAUCCAGUCAGGUGUGAAAGCCCCGAGCUCAACUUGGGAACUGCACUUGAUACUGAUAGGCUAGAAAACGGAAGAGGGCAGUGGAAUUCCCAGUGUAGAGGUGAAAUUCGUAGAUAUUGGGAAGAACACCAGUGGCGAAAGCGGCUGCCUGGUCCGAUUUUGACGCUGAGGCGCGAAAGCGUGGGUAGCAAACAGG